UCCCUGGUGGUCUAGUGGUUAGGACUUGGUGCUUUCGCUGCUGUGGGCCUGGGUUCAAUGUCUGGUCAGGGAA
Molecule: transfer RNA, 73 nt
Filed under: Bos taurus (domestic cattle)
Lineage: Eukaryota; Metazoa; Chordata; Mammalia; Artiodactyla; Bovidae
Also listed under: 3 other names
Rfam family: tRNA
About the family: Transfer RNA (tRNA) molecules are approximately 80 nucleotides in length.
Source: Rfam by way of RNAcentral